Ictidomys tridecemlineatus (thirteen-lined ground squirrel) is the source of this 102-nucleotide small nuclear RNA. Lineage: Eukaryota; Metazoa; Chordata; Mammalia; Rodentia; Sciuridae. The record is from Ensembl.
GUGAGCGGCUUACUUAGACUAAAAUUGAAACAGUGGCACUGAUAGAUUAGAUGGUCCUUGUGCAAGGAUGACAGGCAAAUUUAUGAAAUGUUCCAUAUUUUU